CCUACGGGUGGCAGCAGUGAGGAAUAUUGGUCAAUGGCCGGAAGGCUGAACCAGCCAAGCCGCGUGAAGGACGAAGGUGCCAAGCAUUGUAAACUUCUUUUGUCAAGGGACAAAAUCAGGCUCGAGAGCCUGACCGAGGGUACUUGAAGAAAAAGCAUCGGCUAACUCCGUGCCAGCAGCCGCGGUAAUACGGAGGAUGCGAGCGUUAUCCGGAUUUAUGGGGGUAAAGGGGUGCGUAGGCGGACUGUUAAGUCAGCGGUAAAAGCCCGGGGCUAAACCCCGGCGAGCCGUUGAAACUGGCUGUCUUGAGAUGUCGAGAGGUAUGCGGAAUGCGCAGUGUAGCGGUGAAAUGCUUAGAUAUUGCGCAGAACACCGAUUGCGAAGGCAGCAUACCGGCGGCGAUCUGACGCUGAGGCACGAAAGCGUGGGUAUCGAACAGGAUUAGAUACCCCAGUAGUC
Molecule: ribosomal RNA, 459 nt
Filed under: uncultured bacterium
Lineage: Bacteria
Description: partial 16S ribosomal RNA
Rfam family: Bacterial small subunit ribosomal RNA
Source: RNAcentral